RNAcentral lists this non-coding RNA (30 nucleotides) under Mus musculus (house mouse). The record is from RNAcentral. Lineage: Eukaryota; Metazoa; Chordata; Mammalia; Rodentia; Muridae.
UGCUAAAGGUAAAGACAUGACCCAUUUGAC